RNAcentral lists this ribosomal RNA (543 nucleotides) under uncultured Glomeromycotina. Its description in RNAcentral is "SSU rRNA". It matches the Rfam family "Eukaryotic small subunit ribosomal RNA", at positions 555 to 1098 of the family's 1831-position model. The record is from RNAcentral. Lineage: Eukaryota; Fungi; Glomeromycota.
GCAAGUCUGGUGCCAGCAGCCGCGGUAAUUCCAGCUCCAAUAGCGUAUAUUAAAGUUGUUGCAGUUAAAAAGCUCGUAGUUGAAUUUCGGGAUCAAUAUUUCGGUCAUGCCGUUGGUAUGCACUGUUAUCAUUGAUUUCUCACCUCCUAAAGAACCGUAAUGCCAUUAAUUUGGUGUUACGGGGAAUUAGGACUGUUACCUUGAAAAAAUUAGAGUGUUUAAAGCAGGCUCACGCUUGAAUACAUUAGCAUGGAAUAAUGAAAUAGGACAUCCGAUUCUAUUUUGUUGGUUUCUAGGAUCGAUGUAAUGAUUAAUAGGGAUAGUUGGGGGCAUUAGUAUUCAAUUGUCAGUGGUGAAAUUCUUGGAUUUAUUGAAGACUAACUACUGCGAAAGCAUUUGCCAAGGAUGUUUUCAUUAAUCAAGAACGAAAGUUAGGGGAUCGAAGACGAUCAGAUACCGUCGUAGUCUUAACCAUAAACUAUGCCGACUAGGGAUCGGAUGAUGUUAAUUUUUUAAUGACUCAUUCGGCGCCUUACGGGAAAC